AUUGAACGCUGGCGGCAUGCCUUACACAUGCAAGUCGAACGGCAGCACGGGAGCAAUCCUGGUGGCGAGUGGCGAACGGGUGAGUAAUGUCUCGGAACGUGCCUAGUCGUGGGGGAUAACGCAGCGAAAGCUGUGCUAAUACCGCAUACGAUCUGUGGAUGAAAGCGGGGGAUCGCAAGACCUCGCGCGAUUGGAGCGGCCGAUAUCAGAUUAGCUAGUUGGUGGGGUAAAGGCUCACCAAGGCGACGAUCUGUAGCUGGUCUGAGAGGACGACCAGCCACACUGGAACUGAGACACGGUCCAGACUCCUACGGGAGGCAGCAGUGGGGAAUUUUGGACAAUGGGCGCAAGCCUGAUCCAGCAAUGCCGCGUGCAGGAUGAAGGCCUUCGGGUUGUAAACUGCUUUUGUACGGAGCGAAAAGGCUCUCUCUAAUACAGGGGGCUCAUGACGGUACCGUAAGAAUAAGCACCGGCUAACUACGUGCCAGCAGCCGCCGUAA
RNAcentral lists this ribosomal RNA (500 nucleotides) under uncultured bacterium. RNAcentral describes it as "partial 16S ribosomal RNA". It matches the Rfam family "Bacterial small subunit ribosomal RNA", at positions 30 to 523 of the family's 1533-position model. The record is from RNAcentral.